CCUACGGGAGGCAGCAGUGAGGAAUAUUGGUCAAUGGGCGUGAGCCUGAACCAGCCAAGUCGCGUGAGGGAUGAAGGUCCUAUGGAUUGUAAACCUCUUUUAUAGGGGAAUAAAGGGUGGGACGUGUCCUAUUUCGUAUGUACCUGAUGAAUAAGGAUCGGCUAACUCCGUGCCAGCAGCCGCGGUAAUACGGAGGAUCCGAGCGUUAUCCGGAUUUAUUGGGUUUAAAGGGUGCGUAGGCGGCUGUUUAAGUCAGCGGUAAAAUUCUGGGGCUCAACCUCGUAUUGCCGUUGAAACUGGGGGGCUUGAGUGUGUGAGAGGCAUGCGGAAUGCGUGGUGUAGCGGUGAAAUGCUUAGAUAUCACGCAGAACCCCGAUUGCGAAGGCAGCCUGCC
RNAcentral lists this ribosomal RNA (394 nucleotides) under uncultured bacterium. Its description in RNAcentral is "partial 16S ribosomal RNA". It matches the Rfam family "Bacterial small subunit ribosomal RNA", at positions 338 to 730 of the family's 1533-position model. The record is from RNAcentral.